CUAGACUGAUGAGUUGCGAACGGGUGAGUAACGCGUAGGUAACCUGCCUCAUAGCGGGGGAUAACUAUUGGAAACGAUAGCUAAUACCGCAUAAGAGUAAUUAACACAUGUUAGUUAUUUAAAAGGAGCAAUUGCUUCACUGUGAGAUGGACCUGCGUUGUAUUAGCUAGUUGGUGAGGUAAAGGCUCACCAAGGCGACGAUACAUAGCCGACCUGAGAGGGUGAUCGGCCACACUGGGACUGAGACACGGCCCAGACUCCUACGGGAGGCAGCAGUAGGGAAUCUUCGGCAAUGGACGGAAGUCUGACCGAGCAACGCCGCGUGAGUGAAGAAGGUUUUCGGAUCGUAAAGCUCUGUUGUUAGAGAAGAACGUUGGUAGGAGUGGAAAAUCUACCAAGUGACGGUAACUAACCAGAAAGGGACGGCUAACUACGUGCCAGCAGCCGCGGUAAUACGUAGGUCCCGAGCGUUGUCCGGAUUUAUUGGGCGUAAAGCGAGCGCAGGCGGUUCUUUAAGUCUGAAGUU
This 526-nucleotide ribosomal RNA is filed under the name uncultured bacterium. Its description in RNAcentral is "bacterial SSU rRNA". It matches the Rfam family "Bacterial small subunit ribosomal RNA", at positions 83 to 596 of the family's 1533-position model. The record is from RNAcentral.